UUACAUGGUGGAGGUGGUGGAGCAGAGGUUCACGCCACCGCAAUCGGAAUUCCACUCAUCACAUCAUUAGAUUCCACUCCACUGCCGCCUUUUUCUUUUUCUCUCUAUACAUAUUUCCUUCUGUAUUGUAUUUGUAUUUGUAUUUGUAUGUAUCACUAUCACCUUUCUCCACAUUUCCCAAUUGGGUUUCUCCACAAAACCCCAAUCCAUGGGUAACAUCACCAGCAGCGGCGCCCACUCCCGAAGAAGGAAUUCCUCCCGCCGCAGCCACCCUCCUCCCCCGCAGCCCGAAAUCACCGCCAACCGCUACGUCUUCGCCGCCGCCACGCCCUACCCCAACCCCAAUUCAAACGCGCCGCCGCCCUACUACCACCAGUACCCCGGCUACUACGCCCCCCCGGCGGCGAUGCCGAUGCCCCUUCCCGCACCGUACGAUCACCACCACCACCACGCCAAUUGGGUUAACGGCCGGUACCCCAUGAUGCAGCCGCCGCCGCAGUAUGUGGAGCACCAGAAGGCGGUGACGAUUCGGAACGAUGUGAAUUUGAAGAAGGAAACGCUGAAGAUCGAACCCGAUGAGUACAAUCCCGGGAAAUAUCUUGUUUCCUUCACCUAUGACGCCACCGUCGCGGGAAGCAUUACAAUAAUUUUCUUUGCAAAGGAGGGUGAAGAUUGCUGCCUGACUCCAAUCAAAGAAAGCUUGCAUCCGUCGAUCAAGGUGGAUUUUGAACAAGGUUUAGCCCAGGAGUUUAAGCAACCCUCUGGAACCGGGAUAGACCUUUCAAUGUUUGAGGAGGGAGAAUUGUUGAAAGACGGGGAUGUGGACAUUUAUCCACUGGCAGUCAAAGCAGAGGCAUUGACAGAUGGUCAAAACGGAAACUCUGACAAUGGGUCCUCGAACUCCCAGAUAACUCAGGCUGUGUUUGAGAAGGAUAAAGGUGAAUAUCAUGUAAGAGUGGUGAAGCAGAUAUUGUGGGUGAAAGGCAUGAGGUAUGAGCUACAAGAGAUCUAUGGAAUUGGAAAUUCUGUCGAGGGCGAAGUUGAUGCGAACGAUCCUGGAAAGGAAUGCGUUAUAUGCCUCUCUGAACCCCGAGACACUACUGUCCUCCCUUGUCGUCACAUGUGUAUGUGCAGUGAGUGCGCAAAAGUUCUGAGGUCCCAAACAAACAGGUGCCCGAUAUGCAGACAGCCAGUGGAGCGCCUUUUAGAAAUCAAGGUCAACAAUGGAGCCGAUGAAUAAAUUAAAAUAAAAGAAAGAAAAAUAUGUGAUGCUGCAGUGCUUCUGUAAAGUUUUUCCUUUUCUUCUCCAUUGGCUCCUGGGCGAUGAUAAGGGCAGCCAUUAAGGUGGGCUCUCCUUGCUUUCGUAUUCACUGCAUUAUAUGGUCAUCUUACGUUGUUUCUGCUGGGCUUGAUUGGAGUUCCAUGGCGUGAAAUGUACUAUUUGGUACAUAUUUUUAGUCCUUACAUUAUUACAUAGUACUAUAUGUAUUUGGUGAUCUAAAAUUUAAAUAUGCAUAAGCAAGUUGUUGCUGUGGGUUGCUUGUUUCGUUUUGACAGAUUCACCAGGAAGUGAUUUCUUUUACUCUUUUAUCUUUUUGA
This is an RNA transcript of Salvia splendens (bonfire salvia), 1599 nucleotides long. It is a transcript of the gene named probable E3 ubiquitin-protein ligase LOG2, with no coding region annotated. The transcript is spliced from 4 exons. The record is from RefSeq and is a predicted model, not a curated record. NCBI's taxonomy places the organism in Eukaryota, Viridiplantae, Streptophyta, Magnoliopsida, Lamiales, Lamiaceae.